This is a long non-coding RNA of Crotalus tigris (Tiger rattlesnake), 11006 nucleotides long. RefSeq lists it as uncharacterized. The record is from RefSeq and is a predicted model, not a curated record. NCBI's taxonomy places the organism in Eukaryota, Metazoa, Chordata, Lepidosauria, Squamata, Viperidae. The transcript has 5 exons.
CCGCCCAUUCUGUGCCUGUGCAAUUUAUUUUCCUGCCUAAGGAAGAACUGUACUUUUCUCACCAAUGAACUGCAUCCUGUUCAGGUCUGUCAAGAUCCUCUUAGAUGUUGAGCCUAUCUUCCAACAAUCUUGAUGUCCUCUGCACAUUUGAUGAGUUCCCCUUCUAUCCCCUCAUCUAGAUCAUUGAUGAAGAUGUGGAAGAGAUCUAGGCCGAAGGCAGAUCCCUGAGGUACCCCACUGAAUGCUUCCCUUCUUGUAGAUGUAGCGGUAGCUCCAUUAAGGAAUAAACACUGGGUGCGGCUGGUCAGCCCCCUGACGACCCACCACUUGAUUCUCUAUUCCAGGAUUUUCCCAGGAAUUGAUGUCAAGCUCUUUUUCCAGUUCUCUGAGAGCUCCCCUGGGCUGCAGGAGCAUUCAGAAAUGACGUUUGGUGACACCAAAAUUAGGUCGGCCAGCUCCUUUGGAAGCCUGGGAGGGUCGGCGUGAUUUCUACCCAUCCAGAGUGGAUUGGUCCUCUUUGACUAAUUUCGUGCCUAUUUGGAAUCGUAUAUAGAUUCUAUCUCUCUCGAUGUUGCUGUUGAUAGGCUGUUUUUUUUUCUUUUGCUGAAAAAGAGAUGGAAAGGAGUUAAGCAUUUCUGAAUUCACCCUGCUGCCUGUCUCCUUCCUGCCUUCUGCUCCCAUCAGUGGACCUAUUGACUUUCUUGACUUUCUUCUUGUUCCUUACAUAAAAUUUUCCUUUAUUAUUUUUGGCCUUUGUUGCCAGUCUUUGCCCAUUCCAGGCCUUUGCUAUUCCGAGUCGGUCCUUGCAAAUUCAGUCUACUCGCUGGUAUUCUGCUUUACUUAUGUGCCCCUCUUUCCAUUUUUUUUCUACCUGACCAUAUUGUACUUCUCAGAGGGCUCUUUGAGCAACCAUUCUGGUAUCUCAUGAUAUCUUUAAUUUAUCUGUGUCUUAUUGUUUUUGCUCGGUCCUUCAUCGUUUCAUUUUCCAGGGUUUUCUUUUAAUCAAAAUGGACAUAUAUAAUACGUUACAGGUGUAGAGUUUAGCUAUCUAUUAGGGCUUGUUAAGGCACUUGAGCUAUGUUUUAACCAAACAAGCUUUUUAAAAAGUGGAAACAUAUAAUAAAGGAGAGAAAUAUCGGCAUAUAUAGGGGGGUUUAGGAUUUUUUUUUCAUUUCAUACCUUAGAUAUUAUAUAUGCAGUAGACAUAUAUAAUGCAUUACAAAAAUAGUAUAGUUAUUGAAGAUUUGUUUUAGUCUUUUUUUUAAAGUGGACAUAUGCAUUGAAAAUACAGUGUAGGAAUAUAUUAGGACAUUUUUAGUAUCUCAAGGUUUGUUCUAAAUAAAUGUAUUUCUCAAAUUGUGAACAUAUAGGGUGCAGGAGAAAAGUGGGGUAUUAGGGCUUUUUGAGUUACUGGAGGUGUGUUGUAACAGAAUGUUUUUUUAACGUUGGCAUAUAUAAUGCAGGCGAGCAAUAGAGUACUUACAGCUGGAUGUUAGGUCGUCCUUCUCUUGCUCCCCCCGAGAGGCUCUGGAGCAGCAGGAGCUUCUGCCUGCCCCCGAGACCCUCUACCCAGCCCCGUCCCCCAGUUCCGCCACCCGCUCCCUCCGCCUUGCUGCCUCGGCGCUCUCUGCUCCCCCGAGGCCUCUCCUGGGGACCCCUCGGCUCCCGGCCCAGCUCCUGGCUCCUCUCCUCUCUUCUCCUCUCCUGCCGGCUGUGGGCUCCCGACUGCUCGGCCCAUGCGGCUGCUCGGUUCCAGUUCCAAGGUCCAGCGGUGGCCAGACUAGCCUGGCACACUAGGUAGCAAGUCCCCCACCCCCUCCCGCUCUGCCCCAGUCCCCCAUCCUCUCCUGGAUAUGUAGUGAAACCUGAUUGUGCGGCUGCCAUCCUGAUUUUUCUGCCACCCCAGCACUUCCUGGGCGAGUCCCUGCUGCCAUUAAUGGUCAUUAAGCAAGUGCCAUUUUGCCCAUUGCUGUCACUUGCCGUAACUCCAAGCCGAUCGCCCUGCACCCAAGUCAUGAGCGUGCAACCCUGGAGAUGCUGCUACAGUCAUAUGUGCGAGGACCCGUGAUACAUCACACUUUUCAGUGCCAUUGGAAGUGUAGGCACAGCGAGGAUCUCCCUCGUUUGGAUGUGUCAGAAGAAAGAGACAGUUCCCAUUGAGGCAGAAUUAGGGGGCGAGACUAGAAAUGUGGGGCUCAAUCCCGGAUCACAGCGGUGCUGAUACCUGCCGUGUUAGCAGCCUCCGUUCCUGUGGACAAACUGCCAAUCCACCAUCUCAAAGCUCAAGGCAGUGAACGUACCGAAGAGUCCUUCGUCCCUACAACAACAAGCUUGUGAGACAGGUCAGCAACAGGGAAGAAACGGCCCUAAAGUGAAUAUCCCUGGGCUAUCUCUCUGUGGCCAGUGAUGGUUAAGCAGUCAAGAGAUGCCUUUGACCUUCAGACCCAGGAAUUCAAGAGACAAACAAUGGAUGAAAGAGCAGCACACUUGCCUCAAGAAGAUGGUCCAUCAACUAAAGAGCACAACAAAAAAGUGGCAGAAAACUGCUGGACAAAAGAGAAAGGUUGGAGCGUGCCACCACCAUGAUCCCUCAGCGAGGGCUAAAGAUCAAAUAUUUGGUGAAACACACUGAAGAACUGCACAAAGAACGCUGCAGGUCAGCAGCCAAGCGGCCUUUCUCAAAUAUGAGAAGGCUGCCUUAGAACCUUUGAGAAGAGGUCUCGAAGAAGUCUGGAAUCUUCUUAAGAACUUAAGAAGCACCUCUAUAGUCUGCAGCAUGAACAGGUUGAGACGGGCCAAAGUUACUAUGUGGAGAAAAGCCACUCCAGCCAACUGAUGCAGAAAGUCAGUCCUCUUCAGCAGAAUUUGAGGGAAAAAAAGAAGCAAGUCAACAAUCUACAGCAGCAACAGCAGCCGCCGCAGAGCUAUGCUUCCCAGGCCACUGUUGGAGACCUGUGGAAAGCCGAGGAGGACAACGGAGAAGGACUGAACCAUGUCAAAAUGACGAUGCAAGAAUUACAGCUGCAGACCAGGUGUUUCGAGAAAGACAGUGAAGAUCUCCACAGGGAGGUCCCCAGCCAAGUGGCCUUCUUCAGAAAUGGUUUUGGCGCUCCUAAGCGACCAGCACAUGGGACAACUCGCUGACCCUCUCUCCCCAUAGCUGGAAUGGAGUUACGGUGGCCUUUUACCCUUUCACCCCCUUCCCCUCCCUUCCCCUGACUUGCCACUUAGUGUGCCGGGGAGCCAGGCGAGCCCCCCCCCUUUACCAGCUGAAGCAACACCUUCACCCUCGCCCUCCCAAUCACUGCAGGGCUGUCAGCUGAGCUGAACACCUCACAGCCACCGAGCAUCAGGGCCUGAGAGGGCUGGGGAAUCCCAGGGCUCCGAGCCAAAAAGGAGCCUGGAGGUGAACUUGGUAGGGUGAGUCCACAGGCUCCUCUCCAAGCCUCAGAGUUCCAGCUGAGGAUGAGGGCCACCAGGGACAGGGUGAGGGCUCUGCGGUGGGCAGAGCAGAAAGUCUGGCCAGAACAGGAUCUGGAACCCAGAACCGAGUGGCUGAAUGAGCCGAGCAGCUGGCAUCCCAGCAGCCCACAGGAGAGGAGCAGAGAGGAGAACAGCUAGAAGCCGAACUGGGAGCCGAGGGGUCCGCAGGAGACGCCACGAGGCAGCAGAGACCCCCGGAGGCCGCAAGGCUGACGGAGCUGGUGGCAGAGCUGGAAGACAGGGCUGGGCUGAGGGUCUCGGGGGCAGGCAGACAUUCCUGCUGCUCCAGAGCCUGCAAGAGAGUGGCAACAGAAGGGAGAAGCCGGGGGUGGUCAGUGGCCUGUGGGUGGUCAAGUAGUCUUAGGGGUGGUAGAACAUAAGAGAUUGAUUCAUAGGGCUGGAAGGGACUUUGGAGGUCUUCUACUCUAACCGUCUGCUCAAGGCAGGAACUUUCUGCCAUCCCAGUCAAAUGGUUUGCUUCUCCAUUUUUGAAAACUUCCAGUGAUGGAGCACUCACAACUUCUUACUGUCUCAAAAUUUCUCCUGACUUCUUGGUUGGGUCUCCCUUUCAACGUCCACCCUUGGCUUUUUUCCUGCUCUGCAGUUCUUAAGUCACUCCCUGUCCUUUGAGACAGACCCUAACAGUCUGGAAGACUGCUGUUGUGUCUGCCCGAUCCUUAUCCUCUUCGAUAGGUUACACAUAGCGAACUCCCUGAACCGUUCAUGAAAUGAUUUAGCCUCCAGCUCUUAAAUCAUCUUUGUUGCUCUUCUCUUCACACUUUCUGCAGUCUCAACAAUGUUUUCUAUCGGGCUGACCAGAGUUGGAUACAGUAUUCCAAGGUGGUCUCACCAGUGCGAUAUAAAGCGGUAGCAGCACUUCUGGCCAUCUUGAAACUGCCCCUCUUUUAUUGCUGCCUAAGACUGCAUUGGCCUAUGUUGACACCUGCAGCACACAUCUGGCUGAUCCUUCAGUGGUUUUCCUCUAGAUCCGUCUCACAAUUAUCCCUGCUGAGCCAUUCUGUGCCUGUGCAAUUGAUUUUCCUGCCUAAGGAAGAACUGUACUUUUCUCACCAAUGAACUGCAUCUUGUUAGAUGGGCCCAAUGUUCAAGUCUGUCAAGAUCCUCCUGGAUAUUGAGCCUAUCUUCCAACAAUCUUGAUGUCCUCUGCACAUUUGAUGAGUUCCCCUUCUAUCCCCUCAUCUAGAUCAUUGAUGAAGAUGUGGAAGAGUCCUAGGCCGAAGGCAGAUCCCUGAGGUACCCCACUGAAUGCUUCCCUUCUUGUAGAUGUACCGGUAGCUCCAUUAAGGAAUAAAUGCUGGGUGCGGCUGGUCAGCCCCCUGAGGACCCACCACUUGAUUCUCUAUUCCAGGAUUUUCCCAGGAAUUGAUGUCAAGCUCUUUUUCCAGUUCUCUGAGAGCUCCCCUGGGCUGCAGGAGCAUUCAGAAAUGACGUUUGGUGACACCAAAAUUAGGUCUGCCAGCUCCUUUGGAAGCCUGGGAGGGUUGGUGUCAUUUCUACCCAUCCAGAGUGGAUUGGUCCUCUUUGACUAAUUUCGUGCCUAUUUGGAAUCGUAUAUAGAUUCUAUCUCUCUCGAUGUUGCUGUUGAUAGGCUGAUUUUUUUUCUUUUGCUGAAAAAGAGAUGGAAAGGAGUUAAGCAUUUCUGAAUUCACCCUGCUGCCUGUCUCCUUCCUGCCUUCUGCUCCCAUCAGUGGACCUAUUGACUUUCUUGACUUUCUUCUUGUUCCUUACAUAAAAUUUUCCUUUAUUAUUUUUGGCCUUUGUUGCCAGUCUUUGCCCAUUCCAGGCCUUUGCUAUUCCGAGUCCGUCCUUGCAGAUUCAGUCUACUCGCUGGUAUUCUGCUUUACUUAUGUGCCCCUCUUUCCAUUUUUUUUCUACAUGGCCUAAUUGUCCCUCUUCUUCUCAGAGGGCUCUUUGAGCAACCACGCUGGUAUUGCAUGAUAUCUUUAAUUUUUCCGUGUCGUAUUGUUUUUGCUCGGUCUUUCAUCGUUUCAUUUUCCCGGUUUUUUUUUACUCAAAAUGGACAUAUAUAAUACAUUACAGGUGUAGAGUUUAGCUAUCUAUUAGGGCUUGUUAAGUCACUUGAGCUAUGUUUUAACCAAACAAGCUUUUUAAAAAGUGGAGACAUAUAAUUAAGGAGAGAAAUAUCGGCAUAUAUAGGGGGGUUUAGGAUUGUUUUUUCAUUUCAUACUUUAGAUAUGAUACAUGCAGUAGACAUAUAUAAUGCAUUACAAACAUAGUAUAGUUAUUGAAGAUUUGUUUUAGUCUUUUUUUUAAAGUGGACAUAUGCAUUGAAAAUACAGUGUAGGAAUAUAUUAGGGCAUUUUUAGUAUCUCGAGGUUUGUUCUAAAUAAAUGUAUUUCUCAAACUGUGAACAUAUAGGGUGCAGGAGAAAAGUGGGGUAUUAGGGCUUUUUGAGUUACUGGAGGUGUGUUGUAACAGAAUGUUUUUUUAACGUUGGCAUAUAUAAUGCAGGCGAGCAAUAGAGUACUUACAGCUGGAUGUUAGGUCGUCCUUCUCUUGCUCCCCCCGAGAGGCUCUGGAGCAGCAGGAGCUUCUGCCUGCCCCCGAGACCCUCUACCCAGCCCCGUCCCCCAGUUCCGCCACCCGCUCCCUCCGCCUUGCUGCCUCGGCGCUCUCUGCUCCCCCGAGGCCUCUCCUGGGGACCCCUCGGCUCCCGGCCCAGCUCCUGGCUCCUCUCCUCUCUUCUCCUCUCCUGCCGGCUGUGGGCUCCCGACUGCUCGGCCCAUGCGGCUGCUCGGUUCCGGUUCCAAGGUCCAGCGGUGGCCAGACUAGCCUGGCACACUAGGUAGCAAGUCCCCCACCCCCUCCCGCUCUGCCCCAGUCCCCCAUCCUCUCCUGGAUAUGUAGUGAAACCUGAUUGUGCGGCUGCCAUCCUGAUUUUGCUGACACCCCAGCACUUCCUGGGCGAGUCCCUGCUGCCAUUAAUGGUCAUUAAGCAAGUGCCGUUUUGCCCAUUGCUGUCACUUGCCGUAACUCCAAGCCGAUCGCCCUGCACCCAAGUCUUGAGCGUGCAACCCUGGAGAUGCUGCUACAGUCAUAUGUGCGAGGACCCGUGAUACAUCACACUUUUCAGUACCAUUGGAAGUGUAGGCACAGCGAGGAUCUCCCUCGUUUGGAUGUGUCAGAAGAAAGAGACAGUUCCCAUUAAGGCAGAAUUAGGGGGCAAGACUAGAAAUGUGGGGCUCAAUCCCGGAUCACAGUGGUGCUGAUACCUGCCGUGUUAGCAGCCUCCGUUCCUGUGGACAAACUGCCAAUCCACCAUCUCAAAGCUCAAGGCAGUGAACAUACCGAAGACUCCUUCGUCCCUACAACAACAAGCUUGUGAGACAGGUCAGCAACAGGGAAGAAACGGCCCUACAGUGAAUAUCCCUGGGCUAUCUCUCAGUGGCCAGUGAUGGUUAAGCAGUCAAGAGAUGCCUUUGACCUUCAGACCCAGGAAUUCAAGAGACAAACAAUGGAUGAAAGAGCAGCACACUUGCCUCAAGAAGACGGUCGAUCAACUAAAGAGCACAACAAAAAAGUGGCAGAAAACUGCUGGACAAAAGAGAAAGGUUGGAGCGUGCCACCACCAUGAUCCCUCAGCGAGGGCUAAAGAUCAAAUAUUUGGUGAAACACACUGAAGAACUGCACAAAGAACGCUGCAGGUCAGCAGCCAAGCGGCCUUUCUCAAAUAUGAGAAGGCUGCCUUAGAACCUUUGAGAAGAGGUCUCGAAGAAGUCUGGAACCUUCUUAAGAACUGAAGAAGCACCUCUAAAGUCUGCAGCAUGAACAGGUUGAGACGGGCCAAAGUUACUAUGUGGAGAAAAGCCACUCCAGCCAACUGAUGCAGAAAGUCAGUCCUCUUCAGCAGAAUUUGAGGGAAAAAAAGAAGCAAGUCAACAAUCUACAGCAGCAACAGCAGCCGCCGCAGAGCUAUGCUUCCCAGGCCACUGUUGGAGACCUGUGGAAAGCCGAGGAGGACAACGGAGAAGGACUGAACCAUGUCAAAAUGACGAUGCAAGAAUUACAGCUGCAGACCAGGUGUUUCGAGAAAGACAGUGAAGAUCUCCACAGGGAGGUCCCCAGCCAAGUGGCCUUCUUCAGAAAUGGUUUUGGCGCUCCUAAGCGACCAGCACAUGGGACAACUCGCUGACCCUCUCUCCCCAUAGCUGGAAUGGAGGAACGGUGGCCUUUUACCCUUUCACUCCCUUCCCCUCCCUUCCCCUGACUUGCCACUUAGUGUGCCGGGGAGCCAGGCGAGCCCCCCCCCCUACCAGCUGAAGCAACACCUUCACCCUCGCCCUCCCAAUCACUGCAGGGCUGUCAGCUGAGCUGAACACCUCACAGCCACCGAGCAUCAGGGCCUGAGAGGGCUGGGGAAUCCCAGGGCUCCGAGCCAAAAAGGAGCCUGGAGGUGAACUUGGUAGGGUGAGUCCACAGGCUCCUCUCCAAGCCUCAGAGUUCCAGCUGAGGAUGAGGGCCACCAGGGACAGGGUGAGGGCUCUGCGGUGGGCAGAGCAGAAAGUCUGGCCAGAACAGGAUCUGGAACCCAGAACCGAGUGGCUGAAUGAGCCGAGCAGCUGGCAUCCCAGCAGCCCACAGGAGAGGAGCAGAGAGGAGAACAGCUAGAAGCCGAACUGGGAGCCGAGGGGUCCGCAGGAGACGCCACGAGGCAGCAGAGACCCCCGGAGGCCGCAAGGCUGACGGAGCUGGUGGCAGAGCUGGAAGACAGGGCUGGGCUGAGGGUCUCGGGGGCAGGCAGACAUUCCUGCUGCUCCAGAGCCUGCAAGAGAGUGGCAACAGAAGGGAGAAGCCGGGGGUGGUCAGUGGCCUGUGGGUGGUCAAGUAGUCUUAGGGGUGGUAGAACAUAAGAGAUUGAUUCAUAGGGCUGGAAGGGACUUUGGAGGUCUUCUACUCCAACCGUCUGCUCAAGGCAGGAACUUUCUGCCAUCCCAGUCAAAUGGUUUGCUUGUCCAUUUUUGAAAACUUCCAGUGAUGGAGCACUCACAACUUCUUACUGUCUGAAAAUUUCUCCUGACUUCUUGGUUGGGUCUCCCUUUCAACGUCCACCCUUGUCUUUUUUCCUGCUCUGCAGUUCUUAAGUCACUCCCUGUCCUUUGAGACAGACCCUAACAGUGUGGAAGACUGCUGUUGUGUCUGCCCGAUCCUUAUCAUCUUCGAUAAGUUACACAUAGCGAACUCCCUGAACCGUUCAUGAAACGAUUUAGCCUCCAGCUCUUAAAUAAUCUUUGUUGCUCUUCUCUUCAAACUUUCUGCAGUCUCAACAAUGUUUUCUAUCGGGCUGACCAGAAUUGGAUACAAUAUUCCAAGGUGGUCUCACCAGUGCGAUAUAAAGCAGUACCAGCACUUCUGGCGAUCUUGAAACUGCCCCUCUUUUAUUGCUGCCUAAGACUGCAUUGGCCUGUGUUGACAGCUGCAGCACACAUCUGGCUGAUCCUUAAGUGGUUUUCCUCUAGAUCCGUCUCACAAUUAUCCCUGCUGAGCCAGGUACCGCCCAUUCUGUCCCUGUGCAAUUGAUUUUCCUGCCUAAGGAAGAACUGUACUUUUCUCACCAAUGAACUGCAUCUUGUUAGAUGGGCCCAAUGUUCACGUCUGUCAAGAUCCUCCUGGAUAUUGAGCCUAUCUUCCAACAAUCUUGAUGUCCUCUGCACAUUUGGUGAGUUCUCCUUCUAUCCCCUCAUCUAGAUCAUUGAUGAAGAUGUGGAAGAGAUCUAGGCCGAAGGCAGAUCCCUGAGGUACCCCACAGAAUGCUUCCCUUCUUGUAGAUGUAGCGGUAGCUCCAUUAAGGAAUAAACACUGGGUGCGGCUGGUCAGCCCCCUGAGGAUCCACCACUUGAUUCUCUAUUCCAGGAUUUUCCCAGGAAUUGAUGUCAAGCUCUUUUUACAGUUCUCUGAGAGCUCCCCUGGGCUGCAGGAGCAUUCAGAAAUUAUAUUUGGUGACCCCAAAAUUAGGUCUGCCAGCUCCUUUGGAUGCCUGGGAGGCAAACCAUCUGGUCGGCGUGAUUUCUACCCAUCCAGAGUGGAUUGGUCCUCUUUGACUAAUUUCGUGCCUAUUUGGAAUCGUAUAUAGAUUCUAUCUCUCUCGAUGUUGCUGUUGAUAGGCUGUUUUUUUUUCUUUUGCUGAAAAAGAGAUGGAAAGGAGUUAAGCAUUUCUGAAUUCACCCUGCUGCCUGUCUCCUUCCUGCCUUCUGCUCCCAUUAGUGGACCUAUUGACUUUCUUGACUUUCUUCUUGUUCCUUACAUAAAAUUUUCCUUUAUUAUUUUUGGCCUUUGUUGCCAGUCUUUGCCCAUUCCAGGCCUUUGCUAUUCCGAGUCGGUCCUUGCAAAUUCAGUCUACUCGCUGGUAUUCUGCUUUACUUAUGUGCCCCUCUUUCCAUUUUUUUUCUACCUGACCAUAUUGUACUUCUCGGAGGGCUCUUUGAGCAACCAUGCUGGUAUCUCAUGAUAUCUUUAAUUUUUCUGUGUCUUAUUGUUUUUGCUCGGUCCUUCAUCGUUUCAUUUUCCAGGGUUUUCUUUUAAUCAAAAUGGACAUAUAUAUAAUACGUUACAGGUGUAGAGUUUAGCUAUCUAUUAGGGCUUGUUAAGGCACUUGAGCUAUGUUUUAACCAAACAAGCUUUUUAAAAAGUGGAGACAUAUAAUAAAGGAGAGAAAUAUCGGCAUAUAUAGGGGGGUUUAGGAUUUUUUUUUCAUUUCAUACUUUAGAUAUUAUAUAUGCAGUAGAGAUAUAUAAUGCAUUACAAAAGUAGUAUAGUUAUUGAAGAUUUGUUUUAGUCUUUUUUUUAAAGUGGACAUAUGCAUUGAAAAUAGAGUGUAGGAAUAUAUUAGGGCAUUUUUAGUAUCUCGAGGUUUGUUCUAAAUAAAUGUAUUUCUCAAAUUGUGAACAUAUAGGGUGCAGGAGAAAAGUGGGGUAUUAGGGCUUUUUGAGUUACUGGAGGUGUGUUGUAGCAGAAUGUUUUUUUAACGUUGGCAUAUAUAAUGCAGGCGAGCAAUAGAGUACUUACAGCUGGAUGUUAGGUCGUCCUUCUCUUGCUCCCCCCGAGAGGCUCUGGAGCAGCAGGAGCUUCUGCCUGCCCCCGAGACCCUCUACCCAGCCCCGUCCCCCAGUUCCGCCACCCGCUCCCUCCGCCUUGCUGCCUCGGCGCUCUCUGCUCCCCCGAGGCCUCUCCUGGGGACCCCUCGGCUCCCGGCCCAGCUCCUGGCUCCUCUCCUCUCUUCUCCUCUCCUGCCGGCGGUGGGCUCCCGACUGCUUGGCCCAUUCGGGUGCUCGGUUCCGGUUCCAGCCGUGGCCAGACUCGCCCGGCAAACUAGGUAUCAAGUCCCCCACCCCCUUUCUAUCUGCCACCGUCCCCCAUCCUCUCCUGGAUAUGUAGUGAAACCUGAUUGUGCGGCUGCCAGCGGCUGCCAUCCUGAUUUUUCUGACACCCCAGCACUUCCUGUAAUGCCAUUAAUGGUCAUUAAAGAAUGCAAGUUUUCAAAUGCA